Molecule: ribosomal RNA, 631 nt
Filed under: uncultured bacterium
Lineage: Bacteria
Description: bacterial SSU rRNA
Rfam family: Bacterial small subunit ribosomal RNA
Source: RNAcentral
CCUACGGGAGGCAGCAGUGGGGAAUUUUGGACAAUGGGCGAAAGCCUGAUCCAGCAAUGCCGCGUGAGUGAAGAAGGCCUUCGGGUUGUAAAGCUCUUUUGUCAGGGAAGAAACGGUGAGAGCUAAUAUCUUUUGCUAAUGACGGUACCUGAAGAAUAAGCACCGGCUAACUACGUGCCAGCAGCCGCGGUAAUACGUAGGGUGCAAGCGUUAAUCGGAAUUACUGGGCGUAAAGCGUGCGCAGGCGGUUUUGUAAGUCUGAUGUGAAAUCCCCGGGCUCAACCUGGGAAUUGCAUUGGAGACUGCAAGGCUAGAAUCUGGCAGAGGGGGGUAGAAUUCCACGUGUAGCAGUGAAAUGCGUAGAUAUGUGGAGGAACACCGAUGGCGAAGGCAGCCCCCUGGGUCAAGAUUGACGCUCAUGCACGAAAGCGUGGGGAGCAAACAGGAUUAGAUACCCUGGUAGUCCACGCCCUAAACGAUGUCUACUAGUUGUCGGGUCUUAAUUGACUUGGUAACGCAGCUAACGCGUGAAGUAGACCGCCUGGGGAGUACGGUCGCAAGAUUAAAACUCAAAAGUAGUAGUUAGGACGUCGAGACGUUAGCGACGGAGGACCACGACGGGAGGGUUAGG